AUGGAAAGGAAGACUGUUAUGUCAAGGGUGGGACAACUGCACUCAAACGAUGCCACAUGGAACCUCCCCAACAUAAAGUAUGACAAGUUACAGGUGUGCCAAGGAAAUUGCCCCCCCCAUGGAAUGGAAGCGCUUUGGACGGGUGCAGAGGUGAGUAUUUCUCGGUGCCUUGUGCAUCCAUUGCCAAGAGGAACAAAGAUCCGAAUGCUGCAGGUCGGGAUGAUCAAAACACCACGGCAGAUGAUUCAUGGCAAGCCAAUUUACAGGUUGCAAUAAUAACAGAGCCAUACCCUUCUCAGUAAGGAAGUGCGGAAGCCCUGCCCCAUUCCUCUGGCUGGCUCCUGCUGGCGAGUGGCGUGGAGCAAGGAGAACAGGUGGAGGGAAGGAGCAGUAGGCAAAGAACCGGCUGGGCGAAGCAGCCACGGAGCGGAGCAACAGGAAAGCGGGCCGUGCGAAUGAUGACAGGAAGGCUGAGAAGGACAAUGUCU
This 488-nucleotide long non-coding RNA is filed under the name Pogona vitticeps (central bearded dragon). Its description in RNAcentral is "lncRNA (ENSPVIG00000008039.1)". Lineage: Eukaryota; Metazoa; Chordata; Lepidosauria; Squamata; Agamidae. The record is from RNAcentral.